RNAcentral lists this ribosomal RNA (465 nucleotides) under Vreelandella stevensii. Its description in RNAcentral is "partial 16S ribosomal RNA". It matches the Rfam family "Bacterial small subunit ribosomal RNA", at positions 338 to 795 of the family's 1533-position model. Lineage: Bacteria; Pseudomonadati; Pseudomonadota; Gammaproteobacteria; Oceanospirillales; Halomonadaceae. The record is from RNAcentral.
CCUACGGGUGGCAGCAGUGGGGAAUAUUGGACAAUGGGCGAAAGCCUGAUCCAGCCAUGCCGCGUGUGUGAAGAAGGCCUUCGGGUUGUAAAGCACUUUCAGUGGGGAAGAAAGCCUUGGGGCUAAUACCCUCGAGGAAGGACAUCACCCACAGAAGAAGCACCGGCUAACUCCGUGCCAGCAGCCGCGGUAAUACGGAGGGUGCGAGCGUUAAUCGGAAUUACUGGGCGUAAAGCGCGCGUAGGCGGUCUGAUAAGCCGGUUGUGAAAGCCCCGGGCUCAACCUGGGAACGGCAUCCGGAACUGUCAGGCUAGAGUGCAGGAGAGGAAGGUAGAAUUCCCGGUGUAGCGGUGAAAUGCGUAGAGAUCGGGAGGAAUACCUGUGGCGAAGGCGGCCUUCUGGACUGACACUGACGCUGAGGUGCGAAAGCGUGGGUAGCAAACAGGAUUAGAUACCCGAGUAGUC